Nerophis lumbriciformis (worm pipefish) is the source of this 562-nucleotide non-coding RNA. NCBI's taxonomy places the organism in Eukaryota, Metazoa, Chordata, Actinopteri, Syngnathiformes, Syngnathidae. The record is from RefSeq and is a predicted model, not a curated record.
GAUCCACCAAUCUGUCAAGAGCAGUUACGAAACAGCCAGGAAAACUUUCGAAACAGCCAGGAAAACUUUCGAAACAGACAGGAGAGCUCUCGACAUUAAGUUUGGCGACCUCAAUUGUGACUUGAAGUUGCUGCAGACAAAACGGGAGCAUGAAAUAGAGCUGGCACAACUCAAGGCAGAGUUGGGAAGAGGUGGCCCGCCAGCUUCUCAACCUCCUGGAGAUGGUGAAGACAGGGAUUCUGCCAAUGAUAACAGCCAGGACGUGGACAACCAAAGCCUGUCGCCCUCUCCACCUCCUGGAGCGGGGGAAGACAGUGCUGAAGGUACCAGUCAGGACCCAGAGAUGCCGGCGGCCAAAAGGCCAAGAAAAUAAAAAGUUAAAAUAAGGUGCUGCUGAGAAGUUCAAGUUUUCCAUGCAUCCAUCCCAUUUUCUACCGCUUGUCCCUUUUGGGGUGGCGGGGGGUCGCUGGAGCCUAUCUCAGCUGCAUUGGGGGCCACGUUUUGAAUAAUAAAUGAUUUAAUGAUUGGCGUAAAAUCAGACUGAAUAAUUUGUGAUUUGGGC